AACGAACGCUGGCGGCAGGCCUAACACAUGCAAGUCGAGCGAGGACUUCGGUCCUAGCGGCGGACGGGUGCGUAACGCGUGGGAACGUGCCCUUUGCUUCGGAAUAGCCCUGGGAAACUGGGAGUAAUACCGGAUGAGCCCUUUGGGGGAAAGAUUUAUCGGCGAAGGAUCGGCCCGCGUUGGAUUAGGUAGUUGGUGGGGUAAUGGCCUACCAAGCCGACGAUCCAUAGCUGGUUUGAGAGGAUGAUCAGCCACACUGGGACUGAGACACGGCCCAGACUCCUACGGGAGGCAGCAGUGGGGAAUAUUAGACAAUGGGGGAAACCCUGAUCUAGCCAUGCCGCGUGAGCGAUGAAGGCCUUAGGGUUGUAAAGCUCUUUCAGCUGGGAAGAUAAUGACGGUACCAGCAGAAGAAGCCCCGGCUAACUCCGUG
Molecule: ribosomal RNA, 433 nt
Filed under: uncultured bacterium
Lineage: Bacteria
Description: partial 16S ribosomal RNA
Rfam family: Bacterial small subunit ribosomal RNA
Source: RNAcentral